This 497-nucleotide ribosomal RNA is filed under the name uncultured bacterium. RNAcentral describes it as "partial 16S ribosomal RNA". It matches the Rfam family "Bacterial small subunit ribosomal RNA", at positions 28 to 507 of the family's 1533-position model. The record is from RNAcentral.
GAUGAACGCUGGCGGCGUGCCUAAUACAUGCGAGUCGAGCGAACAGACGAGGAGCUUGCUCCUCUGACGUUAGCGGCGGACGGGUGAGUAACACGUGGAUAACCUACCUAUAAGACUGGGAUAACUUCGGGAAACCGGAGCUAAUACCGGAUAACAUGUUGAACCGCAUGGUUCAACAGUGAAAGACGGUCUUGCUGUCACUUAUAGAUGGAUCCGCGCCGCAUUAGCUAGUUGGUAAGGUAACGGCUUACCAAGGCAACGAUGCGUAGCCGACCUGAGAGGGUGAUCGGCCACACUGGAACGGAGACACGGUCCAGACUCCUACGGGAGGCAGCAGUAGGGAAUCUUCCGCAAUGGGCGAAAGCCUGACGGAGCAACGCCGCGUGAGUGAAGAAGGUCUUCGGAUCGUAAAACUCUGUUAUUAGGGAAGAACAAAUGUGUAAGUAACUAUGCACGUCUUGACGGUACCUAAUCAGAAAGCCACGGCUAACUACGUG